RNAcentral lists this transfer RNA (59 nucleotides) under Elateroidea sp. 5 KM-2017. RNAcentral's name for it is "tRNA-Leu". RNAcentral also lists the same sequence under 1 other name. The record is from RNAcentral. Lineage: Eukaryota; Metazoa; Arthropoda; Insecta; Coleoptera.
UCUAAUAUGGCAGAAUAGUGCCAUGGAUUUAAACCCCAUAUAUAAUUUUUUUUUUAGAA